Molecule: ribosomal RNA, 369 nt
Filed under: uncultured bacterium
Lineage: Bacteria
Description: bacterial SSU rRNA
Rfam family: Bacterial small subunit ribosomal RNA
Source: RNAcentral
GGUAUGUAAAGCUCUAUCAGCAGGGAAGAUAAUGACGGUACCCGACUAAGAAGCACCGGCUAAAUACGUGCCAGCAGCCGCGGUAAUACGUAUGGUGCAAGCGUUAUCCGGAUUUACUGGGUGUAAAGGGAGCGCAGGCGGUGCGGCAAGUCUGAUGUGAAAGCCCGGGGCUCAACCCCGGUACUGCAUUGGAAACUGUCGUACUAGAGUGUCGGAGGGGUAAGCGGAAUUCCUAGUGUAGCGGUGAAAUGCGUAGAUAUUAGGAGGAACACCAGUGGCGAAGGCGGCUUACUGGACGAUAACUGACGCUGAGGCUCGAAAGCGUGGGGAGCAAACAGGAUUAGAUACCCUGGUAGUCCACGCCGUAAA